Mytilus californianus (California mussel) is the source of this 2407-nucleotide long non-coding RNA. RefSeq lists it as uncharacterized. The record is from RefSeq and is a predicted model, not a curated record. NCBI's taxonomy places the organism in Eukaryota, Metazoa, Mollusca, Bivalvia, Mytilida, Mytilidae. The transcript has 2 exons.
AACAAACUCCAUAUAUUAAAAAUAUUUUUAUGAUUCAAACAAGAACUGUUAAUUUUCUGUAAAAGGCAAUAUCCCGAUUAAAGACUCGAGGAAAUUAAAAUAAUUCAGAAAUCUUCAUAGACCUGAAACGAAUAGAGAAUGGAAACAGUGGACGCCACAGUUAACUCCGAAACAUACAAAUGAACCAAAAUUAAAAACACACGCAAGACUAAAAAAAGACUAGAGUUUCCUGAUAUGGGACACGCACAAAAAUGCAGCUGGGUUAAACAUGUUUUUGUGAGAUCUCGACCCUCCCCUUAUACAUCCUGCCAAUAUGGAAUAAACAAACACACAGCAAUACGCACAGUACCCUCAGUUUGAAAGAAGUCCAAGCACGAUGUUAGAAUAUGUAACAGAAGAAACUAAGCAACAUGACAAUAAUCAACAUAAAUUAACAAAGGACUACUAGCAGUUACUGAAAUGCCAGCUCAAGACCUCAAUUAAACUGAUCGGAAGAUUAUGCCUUCAUCAUAUGAAAAUCAAUCACAAUUUAUUGUAUACAAAAGUGUUUUUGUUUUAAGGAAAUGACAGAGAAUUUACAAUUUACCAGAUAUUAUUUCGUCAACAUGCACGAAUGAAACUAAUUUUUUUUAAUGUAUUUUAUUGUCAUUUCAAGACGGGGAAAUCGGAGGGUAAUAAAUGCGAUGUUGGAUUGAUUCGACGCAUAUAUGGUGCAAUAUUUACGUUUCAUCUUGAUAAACGAAUGAUAUUUGUACAGUUUAUAUUAUUAGUUAUUUAAUGGGUAACGAAUAUGUCUACAGUGUUGGGAUAUUAUCUUUAUUAUCAAAAAGACACAAAGCGUUUGUCGUAUUUUAAUAUCAGUUAUUUUGAUGACAAAACUGUGUGUUGGAUACUGAUACAUUGAAUCAAUUAACGUAUUGUUUUGUAUUAAAGCCAAUUUAAAGUUUACAAUAUUUACACAAGUCACGUUCUUUUUAUUGUUGAAUAUAAUGGUUCAUGCACAAAAAUAUAUAUAAUAUUCAAAUCUUGCAUUUAUUCAUAAUGAUUGUUAUACAAUGACUUAAAUUAAAUUUGUUUGCGAAAUUGUUAUAAAAACGAAUGUAUGAAGAUUACAUGUAUCUGCACAAAAACCAAUAUAACUGAUCAUUAAUUGUUUUUAAUUCCUCAAUAUAUCUGCACUUUGUUCUUUUAACUAGAUACAAGGUCUGACUAUCUUCCAUGAAAUUUGAUUAAACGGACUUUUCUAUGUUGAUCUCAUUGGUUUGUUUUAUAACUAUUGCUGUUUUUUUUUGUUUUUUUUUUUGUUUUUUGUAUUAUUAUUCUAAACUCUAAAAUAUAGUUAGUUAGGGGCUUUUGCAAAUAAUAUAGGAAAUUUUCCUAAGCUAUUUAGGAAGCUCGUACGAACUUAUAACAGAAAUAAUGAUCUAAUCGUUAUUCUGGAAAUUUGAGAAAAUUGGAUUAAAUAAAAUUCAAGAACAAACGCACGUCAAGGCUACAUCAUCUAGCUAUAUUUAAAACAAGAUCUGUAAUGGUAAACCGUUGUUUACAUUCAAUUUACAUGUCAGAGAUUUCAUUCGGUAUAUCGAAUAGAUAUAUCAUGAAAGAAUCAGUAACGGAAGCCAAGUACUGCGAUAGGAUCGUGAAAGAUCUGGUAUGGGAUCGUGAAGGAAAUCUUAUCGAGAAGACACAUGCAGGGUCAAAAGAUACAUUGUAAUCUAAUUUAUUGAAUUAUUAGAACAAAUUAAAAAAAAAAAGGUAAAACCGUCUGUCAAAAUCGUUUAACAUUAUGAUCAGUCUCUUAGAAAAUCAGAGCUGCAAAUAUCACCGUUUUAACAAAUUAUGAACAGUUUUUAUAUCUAUAGGAAGAAGAUCCUUGUCGGGUUUUCUUUAUUAAAAAAGGGGGGAAUGUUUUUGUAAAAAGUUACUCUUUUGGCAAGAAGAUUAUAAAAUUUGAGAAAUAUCAGGUUUUUUUUUGCUUUUCUUUUUUGAAAAUAACUAUUCAAAAAUAAUUUAUCAUUCUAUAGUUUUUUUUUCAGUAUUUCCUGCUUUCGUGACAAGUAUACACGGCCGAGCUUAAUACUCUUUCAUCGCAACUGGAAAUAUUUUUUUAAAUAUUACGCACAACUUAAAGGUCAGCGUUGCUCCUAUUCUUUUUAUACCAUGCACUAGUAUUUUAUUUAGUCUUGUAUUGAUUGUUGGUGAUUGAAAAUGUGUAAGGUAUAAAGUGUGGGACUUUCUUUGUAAAUAAGUAAGUCAGCUGUAUGGAAGUUAAUAUUUAUAAAACUCUGUCUUUGAAUUAUUUCUAUAAAAAUGUACAUUUCCUGUAAUUUUAGCAUUCCUCAAAGUUGUUGUUCAUGUUUUUAUAUUUAAUUUUCUCUUCUUUUCUAUUAAAUGUGUUUAAAUAUGA